Molecule: long non-coding RNA, 1731 nt
Filed under: Homo sapiens (human)
Lineage: Eukaryota; Metazoa; Chordata; Mammalia; Primates; Hominidae
Description: HSALNT0352693
Source: RNAcentral
GAUCACCCCGACGCGGGUGGCGAGGGUCCCGCCGAGCGCCAGGUCUAAGAGACACUUUUUCCCGAGUCCACUGACGGCUUCUGAACCCCUGCUCCGGCCGGUCCGCACCGUUCCGGCAUUCUCUUGCUCAGUAACAAUUUCGCAGAAUCCCAUCACGUCACAAACCAAACCCCCUCCAAUUGGCCAGUGGGGAGGGUGAUUCAACUCUGUUUACUUUCUCCCCCUGCCAGUCAGAACGGCCUUCGGUGGAGAGGUGCGUCUAGAACUGAGGCGUGCGGCCAAUCCGACUGUUCCGUUUCGCUGCCUCGUGCUACCCCUACAGCCUCGAACACUGACAUUUAAAAGGGUAACAGCUGGGAGGCAGGGAAGGGGCAGCCGCACACUUUCGGAGUGCCUCGCGGUCCCGUGGCCGGUCCGGGCCUCCUGGCUCACGUUCCAGCUUGCGGAGCUUUGGGACACAUCUUUCCUAGUCAGUUGCGCUCGUUCCUAUGGCAAAAGAGAACUUCAGCUUCGGUUUUCCAGCUCCCAAACAGUUAAGUGACUUCCUGCAAACGCUACAGUCCCAGCAACCAGCCUUCCAAUCAAAAUGAAUAAACCAGCAGACCAAUUCAGAGCCCAUUUCAGUGGUGCAGGUGAGAGGUGUUAGAGACCUGGACAAGGUGGUGGCAGAUGAAGAUGGAGAGAAGAGAGAUAGGAUCUCGCUAUGUUGCCCAGGCUGACCUCCUGCCUCAUGCAUCCCUCACCAAGCUUAACAGGUACAUCACCCAUAAACGAAAAGAAUCUUCCUAAAACACCUGGAACCAAUUCCUGGAGUAAUCUCAGCUUGGCAGAGGGUGUGAAGCAUCAGACCUUGUUGUUUGAUGGAUUUAAGAUUGGAUAUAAGAAGACAUGGACAGACCCUUGAAGUCGACCCAGAAGUGGCAGGAGAGCUCACAAAUUUUGAGAUAAUCAUAUUUUGAGAUUUAACCAAAGUUUCUCUGCUUCUGCCCCUAACCUGUCCCUGAAUCCAGACUAAAGACAUUCUGCUUUUAUUCUCUAGAUGAAUGAAUGACUUAGCAAAAAUGCAGAGAGAAAGCUAAGAGUCUAAACAGACUUUGAAACUGCUGGUGGAGAUGGGAAUUUGAGAAAAAAAAGAAAAGCUUUUGAGGUUCAAAAGCUUAAGUUUUGGAGUUUCAAAAGCAUGCCUCCUAAGGGGAUUCAGGGCAUAGAGAAUAUGUGAUGAGUAGAAUGAAGAACAAAAACAGGCAAACACUGAAAAGUACCCUAGAGUGGAGUUGGAGGGGGAGAAAAAAUAUUGGUUCCUGUGCCCUGAACGUCCCUGGGCCAAGUCUGCGUGAGGAACAAUGGAGCCCCAGGUAGGCUGGGGAAACUGAGGCACAAGGGACAUGAUAGUGGCGUGGAUGGGACACAGGAGACUGUGGCCAUGAAGAGGAACUGGAAUAACAUAGCAGAGGACCAGUAUGGAGGUGACAUGAAGGACCUGGUAGACCCUGCCCCUGACAUCUUGGGAGCCCUGAGGAAAUGGAAAUCUACAGGCAUCCUGAAUUUACUGAGAUUAAAUUUCUUCCAUUGAGCAGAAUGGGAGCUGAAAAGGGCACACUUCAGCUGAUAUUUGUACACAUGACACAUAGAAAGACAUCAUGCAAACUAUGAUUAUGAGGUGACACUUUUGUUCUCUUGAGACAGGGUCUCACUUUGUCUCUCAGGCUGCAGUGCGGUGGUAUGAUCACA